Molecule: long non-coding RNA, 1851 nt
Organism: Gallus gallus (chicken)
Lineage: Eukaryota; Metazoa; Chordata; Aves; Galliformes; Phasianidae
Source: Ensembl
CCCCCCCCCCCCCCCCCCCCCCCCCCCCCCCCCCCCCCCCCCCCCCCCCCCCCCCCCCCCCCCCCCCCCCCCCCCCCCCCCCCCCCCCCCCCCCCCCCCCCCCCCCCCCCCCCCCCCCCCCCCCCCCCCCCCCCCCCCCCCCCCCUCCACCCCCAUUUCUGCCUUCACGCUCCAACCGUGGCGGAUUUGGGGUUAUUGACUGAAGUCUGUUGGGGGGGGGGGGGGUGGUUAUUUUUUGCUCCCCCACCCCCAAAAAUGCCACUUUUCCACCCAAAUCUCCCAUUGCUCACCAUGGGGACGGGGGUGGGGGGCAGAGCCCUUUUAUUCUGCCCCUUUUUGGGCCUUUUUCCACCCAAAACCGCCACCAUCUCCCAUUGCUCACCAUGGGGAGGGUGGGGGGGAGGGCAGAGCCCUUUUAUUCUGCCCCUUUUCGGGCCUUUUUCCACCCAAAACCACCGCCAUCUCCCAUUGCUCACCAUGGGGAGGGUGGAGAGGGUGAGGGGGGGCAGAGCCCUUUUAUUUUGCCCCUUUUCGGGCCUUUUUCCACCCAAAACGCGGCCCCUGUUGCGGAGAGAAGUGGGGUUACAGCACACAAAUACACUCUUUCCCUGCGUUGGCCGCUACGUUCCCUUUUUGGGUUCAAACGCUCAACUCUUGCCACUUACCACCAAAUUUAUUGAAGCCACCACGCUCACCACCGCUGAGGAGAUAAAUUAGAAGAUAUGAAGCUUUUUUUUUUGGGUUUUUUUUGUUUUUUUUUUUGGUUUUUCGUUCAUUUUAUGCUUUUGAAGGGGGGGGGGGGCAGUUUUAUAAUCCCUGAAUUGCUUUAUUUUGUUGUUAUUUUUUUUGGGGGGGGGUAAAACCGGCGUUUUUCCUCCAUCCUGAAGCCCCUCUGUGCUUUGUUUUGGGGGGGGGGGGGGGGGGGGGGGGGGGGCGGUUUUGGGGUAUUUUGGGGGGGGUUUUGGGGGUCUCCAUCCGUCGUUGACGCUCCUCUCGCACGCAGCGCUGCCCAAUGGGGGGGUGGGGUGGGAUUGGGUGGGAUUUUGGGGGGGGGGGGGGUCAGAAAAUGGCUAAAAACGCCGAUUGGAGCUCUUUGCGGCCGUUCUGAAGGAUCCCUGCGGGGCACCUUUGGGCCCGGCGUACAAAAAGGCUUUGGCCCCCUUUUUUUGGGGUCGUUUUCCCUGCUUUCCGCACACCCCACACGGUUGUGGGUCGUUCCCCCCCCCCCAAAAUGAAUCCUAAAGUUGGGGAAAAAAAAAACCAAAAACCACAAAAAUGCCCAAAUCAAACGGCCGUUUGACCCUAAAAAAAUGAACCCCGGGCAAUGUGGCCCUUUGGGGGGCGUUUUUCUAUGGGGUUUUUUCCCUGCUUUCUGCAGACCCCCCCCCUGUAGGACCGCCCCCCCCCCCCCAUCUCAUUUUACUGUAUCCAAAAGUUGGGAAAAACCCAAAUCUGCCUUUUUUUGGGGGGGGCCGCUCCAAAAAUGGCUCUUUGGCACUUUCUGACCUCAAAAAUAAAAGCCCUGUGGCCCUUUUUUGGGGGCCUUUUUGGGGCCGUUUUUGGCCCUUUUGGGGUCUUUUUCGGCCUUUCUUGGCCCUUUUGGUGCCUUUUGGGGGUAAUUUUGGCCCUUUUGGAGUCUUUUUUGGUCUUUCAGGGGCCUUUUCUGGUCUUUCUGGGGUCUUUUUUGGCUCUUUUAGAGCCCUUUUUGGCCUUUCUGGGGAUUUUUUUGGGCCCUUUUAGAGCCUUUUUUGGCCUUUCUGGGGCCUUUUCUGGCUGUUUUGGGGCCCUUUUUGGCCUUUUGGGGCUUUUUUUGGCCCUUUUGGGGCCUUUUUUGGCCUUCCUGAGGUCUUU